This 2994-nucleotide ribosomal RNA is filed under the name Cucurbita maxima (winter squash). RNAcentral describes it as "bacterial LSU rRNA". The stretch from base 601 to 2994 matches the Rfam family "Bacterial large subunit ribosomal RNA". Lineage: Eukaryota; Viridiplantae; Streptophyta; Magnoliopsida; Cucurbitales; Cucurbitaceae. The record is from RNAcentral.
AGUGAAUAGAUCUGCCAUUUCUUGAAAUCUCUCUUCUAAUUCAAAAUCGUGGUGUAACUUGUAUCUCUUCCUGUUCCGGUCAUGGAAUAGAUGAAAUAAAUAAAUAAAUAGAUUUUUGUUCAAGAAUGAAAUCUUAUUGGAAUUGUCCAUAUACAAUUCAUCCUUCGGAACCAUAUCACAUCCCAAAUCUUAUCAAAUAGGAUGAGUUGAGACGGUAUUUUGUAAAUACGUAAUUAUCUUGAAUAUAUUAACUAUUUCUUUAUUUUUCGAUCGCUUGGAAGGGACAAAAGAAAUAUCUUGUUCUUUCUUCAACAAUUUCUGAUGUCUAGUGAACCUCUCAAUAGGAUUCGAACCCAUAUGAAGUUCUGACCAUCUGUCAGAGAAAAAAGAAAGAAUGGAUCUUGUAGGAUUCCCGAGAACCUGUUGUUGACAUUUUUAAUGUUUUCCAACUUCAACCGUGAAAAUAUUCAAUUGUCCUUCGUCAAUUGUAUCAGCUUCUAAUUCUACAAAUGAUGGUUGAAUCGAGCCGAUCCAAUUUUGUAAAUGAAGAAUGAAUGUUUGUUGAAUCUUCUUCGCCUUGGAUCGUGUAAUAGGUCCAGUUGGAACAUUUGGAACACCGUGAUUCUUAUCAAGCGGCUUAAGCUAUUAAGUGUAGGCGCUUUCCAGAGGUGGAAUCUUCGAGUUCUUCCUAUUUGACCCUAAACCGAUCGAUCUAGCCAUGAGCAGGUUGAAGAGAGCUCUAACAGGCCUUGGAGGAUCGAACCCACGUAUGUUGCAAAAUACGGGGAUGACUUGUGGCUAGGGGUGAAAGGCCAACCAAGAUCGGAUAUAGCUGGUUUUCCGCAAAAUCUAUUUCAGUAGAGCGUAUGAUGUUGAUGGCCCGAGGUAGAGCACUCAAUGGGCUAGGGUGGCCCCAUUUCGCCUUACCAACCCCAGGGAAACUCCGAAUACAGGCCUAGAUCAUUUGUACAGACAGACUUUUGGGGUGCUAAGAUCCCAAGUCGAGAGGGAAACAACCCAGAUUGUACGCUAAGGUCCCUACGAAAUCACUUAGUGGAAAAGGAAGUGAUCAAGCGAUUACAACAAGGAGGUGGGCUUGGAAGCAGCCAUCCUUUGAAGAAAGCGUAAUAGCUCACUGGUCUAGCUACAUGGCACCGAAAAUGUAUCAGGGCUCAAGUGAUUCACCGAAGCGACGAGACCUUGAAAGCAGCUUUUUCAAGUGUUAGUGGCGGGACGUUCUGUCAAUCGGGGAAGGUUUUUGGUGACAAGACUGGGAGAUAUCAGAAGUGAGAAUGCUGACAUGAGUAACGAGAAAUCCUGUGAAAAACACGAUAGCCUGCCAGUGGAAGGCUUUCUGCGUUCAGUAAAUCUACGCAGAGUGAAUCGGUCCCGAAAGGGCUGCCGUUCGAUGGGUACACGAAAGUGACGAAGUUGCUUUGACUAUAGAACCAUGCCUGUCUCUUGGAGCGAAUAGGAUGAUCGGGCCGAGGGCAGCCCCCUCUUCCCCUCACUCUCCUUUCCUUAAUAUAAGAAAUAUGAACCUUGAGUCAUCAAAGCCUUUCUCAUUCCAGUGCUCGCCUUUUAGUAGGGGCCUUUAGUUUUUUGAUUAGAGUAGGGGUCUCGAGAGAGCGUACCGCCCUGCCAUAGUUGCGAGUCUGUUUAUAGUCGCGACUGUUGUCAUAGUUAACAAGGUGGAAACUUCCAGGAAAAAACUUCGAAUUGGGAGGGCGAUCCUCCCGGUGAACUGCCUGUACCCCAAACCGACACAGGUGAACAAGUAGAGUAUACUAGGGCGCUUGAGAGAACCAUGUCGAAGGAACUCGGCAAAAUGACCUUGUAACUUCGGGAGAAGGGGUGCUCUCCUAUCUUUUGAUUAGGAAAGCGGCACAUACCAGGGGGUAACGACUGUUUAUUAAAAACACAGGACUUUGCUAAGUGGUAACACGAUGUAUAGAGUUUGACACCUGCCUGGUGCUGAAAGGUUGGAAGGAGAAGUGUUAUAAGCUUUGAAUGAAAGCCCCAGUAACGACGAUAGUAACUCUAACAGUCCUAAGGUAGUGAAAUUCCUUGUCACAUAAGUAGCGACCUACAUGAAUGGUGUAACGACUGCUCCGCUGUCUCCGACAUGGACCCGGUGAAAUUGAAUUCUCCGUGAAGAUGCAGAGUACCAACGGCUAGACGGUAAGACCCCGUGCACCUUAACUAUAGCUUCGCAAUGACAACUUUGAUCGAAUGUGUAGGAUAGGUGGGAGGUGGUGACACACAACGACCAAUCUUGAAAGACCACUCUUUCGUCUAAGGAUGCCUAACCGCCGCACCGAGGUUUCGGGGGGGAGGGGGGCAGGACAUUGCAUGGUGGGUAGUUUAUCUGGGGCAUAUGCCUCCUAAAGAGUAACAGAGGUGUGCGAAGGUAGGCUCAAGCUAAGAUUCGGCUUGUGAGCGUAAUGGUAUAAGCCUGCCUGACUGUGAGAUCGACUGGUCGAAUAGAGACGAAAGUCGACCAUAGUGAUCCGGGAGUUCCGUGUGGAAAGGCUCUCGCUCAACGGAUCAAAGCUACGCUGGGGAUAACAGGCUGAUGACUCCCAAGACUCUUAUCGACGGAGUCGUUUGGCACCUCGAUGUCGACUCAUCACAUCCUGGGGUUGAAGAAGGUCCCAAGGGUUCGGUUGUUCGCCGAUUCAAGUGGUACGAUAGUUGGGUUUAGAACGUCAUGAGACAGUUCGGUUCCUAUCUACCGUUAGUGUUAAAGGGAGAACUGCGAGGAGCUAACCCUAGUACGAGAGGACUGGGUUGGGCCAACCUAUGGUGUACAGGUUGUUAUGCCAAUAACAGCGCCGGGAAGCUAAGUUGGUAUGGAAAAACCGACAGCGUUGUGGGAAAUCCUUCUCUAUACAAGUUCUCAGACGAGGUUUUUGAACAGAACUUCGAUAGGUGAGAGGUGUAAGCACCGCGAGGUGUGAAGCGAUCUCGUACUAAACGAAACGACUUUCCACU